This 252-nucleotide ribosomal RNA is filed under the name uncultured bacterium. RNAcentral's name for it is "partial 16S ribosomal RNA". It matches the Rfam family "Bacterial small subunit ribosomal RNA", at positions 524 to 776 of the family's 1533-position model. The record is from RNAcentral.
UACGGAGGAUGCGAGCGUUAUCCGGAUUUAUUGGGUUUAAAGGGUGCGUAGGCGGACGCUUAAGUCAGCGGUAAAAUUGCGGGGCUCAACCGGUACAGGCUCUGGAAACUGGCGGGCUAGAGAGCAGGAGAGGGCGGUGGAACUCCAUGUGUAGCGGUAAAAUGCGUAGAUAUAUGGAAGAACACCAGUGGCGAAGGCGAUUCUCUGGACUGUAACUGACGCUGAGGCUCGAAAGCGUGGGGAGCAAACAGG